CCCGGAGCCACCGCUAUCGCCACGUUCCCCACCGCGAAGGGCCGGGCGGGGUCCCGCAGCACCUGCCGGUUUGCACAACGUAGCCGCGGGGCAGCCCCCGCCCGAGCGCCCCUCGAAAAGUCAAGUUUAAGUUCUGCAGAGCGACUGGAACACGAGAGCGCGGACGGUCCCGCAUCGGUGUGAGCUGAAAGAGCCGCACAGACACCGACAGGCAGCGGUGGGAUGGAUGAAGGAAACUCGAAAACACCGGAGUUAAACAAAUGAGAUUCAUCCAUCAAUAGUGCCGGUGGGGAGAAGAGGAAAGGACAGACAGGAAAGAAACGGAUCAAUCCAUGAACAUGACCAAUAACAUCGGGGUUUGUGCUUUAACAAAAUGACCAUUUUCCCACAGUAGCAAGAUACAGGAACUUCUUAAUUAAUUCUGCCAAUGUAUCACCAUAUGACUGGAGCUGCAAUUCCGAAGCUGAGGCACAGAACAGGGUUUCCCGGCUCCUGGAGAUCCCUGGAUCCCACUUCGCAUUCACCAUACGGAGCUGGUACACACUCUGGGAAGGAGCUGGUUACCUGCCCUUACAAAAUCACUCCAAAGGGUGACAGGCCAGCUACUGCAUUCUCGAACAACUCACCCAGAGCUUGCAGCCAUGAUCAAACCUGUUCUGCCGGGAGGAUGGCUCAGCAGUUCCCCAGACUUUGUUUUCACCAGCAGGUGUUGCUUAUGCUUCAAACUAAACAUGGAGGGAGAAACAAAGAUGUCAGGAGGCUAAAGCAAAGCUAGAAUGCCAAGCAGUUGCUUGGGUUGAUUUUGUCUUCAUGUACGAUCGCUGUGCUCUACUUUCAAGUACCUCCAAGUCAUGAAAGGAAUAUUCACUUGAGGAAUCCAACUGGGUUGAGCACUGGAUUCAGACAGGGUUCUCCCAGCACUGGGUAUAGGGAGUUUGGCCUUUCUUCCACCAGUAGCAGAAGUGGAGUUCAGCCAAGUUUUGCCGGUGUCAAAAAGAAGCAGCGUUUGUCAUUUCAUGUCAAAGACAUCUCAUUGCUAGGUAAAACCUAUUUUUCCACAUGUUUGAGUUAGACGUGAUGGUUAUUCACUGGCACAAAUUCCAGCAUCUAGUUUAGCCAAGUGUCAUUUUUACUGGUUUCUAGAGUUUCCUCCCCAGUUACCUACAAUUCCCAGUAAGGGGAAGGACAGGGGAGGGGAGAAUGAUCUGAGACCCAGAUUAUGAACAGAAUACAAGGAAAUGGUCUUUAACUAUUCUACAUAUCAAAAAGCAACAAAGAAAAGAACUUUCUUUCCCCCCUGCUCCUGAGUUGCUCUUCAACACAUUCUACUGAAGGUAGUAAUUUUAUUGGUGAUUAACAAAACUGGAAGAACUUUACAAGUUCUUUAUCCAUGAUUUAUGUAGUUUGUUAUCGCAUGUUCUUGUACUCUAGUGCAGAUGAACAGCCACAUUUCAGGUGUCCUUCCAGUGCUCUCACUGUCUGCUUUUUAUGGUGCUGUAUUAAUUUCUAAACUGUUUUUAGUUCAUCCAGUAAUCACAUUUUUUGGUCAAGUGUUUAUAAAUAAAAACUCAUUUUGGUUUUAAACUGAAAACCUUUCCUUCCACAAACUGAAGAUUUAAGAGGAAAAAAUACCCCAAAGAACCAAAGUAGUUCACUGGCAUAAAGAAAUUAACAGCAUCUAAUUUUAACACAAAACAUGAUUAAAGAUUUUCACACAUUA
This is a long non-coding RNA of Strigops habroptila (Kakapo), 1720 nucleotides long. RefSeq lists it as uncharacterized. The transcript is spliced from 2 exons. NCBI's taxonomy places the organism in Eukaryota, Metazoa, Chordata, Aves, Psittaciformes, Psittacidae. The record is from RefSeq and is a predicted model, not a curated record.